AGCUUGCACAGGUGCUGCAUGGCUGUCGUCAGCUCGUGUCGUGAGAUGUUCGGUUAAGUCCGCUAACGAGCGCAACCCCUCACUGUGUGUUAUAUGUGUCACACGGGACUGCCGGUCUUAAGCCGGAGGAAGUGGGAUGAUGUCAAGUCAGCAUGGCCUUUAUAUCCCUGGGCUACGACACACGCUACAAUGGCCAACACAAUAGGUUGCUAAGCCGCGAGGUGGCGCCAAUCCAUAAAGUUGGUCUCAGUUCAGAUUGUAGGCUGCAACCCGCCUGCAUGAAGAUGGAGUUGCUAGUAACCGCAGGUCAGCUAUACUGCGGUGAAUACGUUCCCGGGGCUU
This 342-nucleotide ribosomal RNA is filed under the name uncultured Leptolinea sp. Its description in RNAcentral is "bacterial SSU rRNA". It matches the Rfam family "Bacterial small subunit ribosomal RNA", at positions 1027 to 1382 of the family's 1533-position model. Lineage: Bacteria; Bacillati; Chloroflexota; Anaerolineae; Anaerolineales; Anaerolineaceae. The record is from RNAcentral.